RNAcentral lists this ribosomal RNA (135 nucleotides) under uncultured bacterium. RNAcentral's name for it is "partial 16S ribosomal RNA". It matches the Rfam family "Bacterial small subunit ribosomal RNA", at positions 355 to 507 of the family's 1533-position model. The record is from RNAcentral.
UAAGGAAUCUUCCACAAUGGGCGAAAGUCUGAUGGAGCAACGCCGCGUGCAGGAUGAAUGCCUUCGGGUUGUAAACUGCUUUUAUAUGUGACGAUUAUGACGGUCGCAUAUGAAUAAGGAUCGACUAACUCCGUG